AUACGUAGGGAGCGAGCGUUGUCCGGAAUUACUGGGUGUAAAGGGAGCGUAGGCGGGAUCGCAAGUCAGAUGUGAAAUACAUGGGCUUAACCCAUGGGCUGCAUUUGAAACUGUGGUUCUUGAGUGAAGUAGAGGUAAGCGGAAUUCCUGGUGUAGCGGUGAAAUGCGUAGAUAUCAGGAGGAACACCGGUGGCGAAGGCGGCUUACUGGGCUUUUACUGACGCUGAGGCUCGAAAGCGUGGGGAGCAAACAGGAUUAGAUACCCUGGUAGUCCACGUUGUAAACGAUGAUUACUAGGUGUGGGGGGACUGACCCCUUCCGUGCCGCAGUUAACACAAUAAGUAAUCCACCUGGGGAGUACGGCCGCAAGGUUGAAACUCAAAUGAAUUGACGGGG
Molecule: ribosomal RNA, 396 nt
Filed under: uncultured bacterium
Lineage: Bacteria
Description: partial 16S ribosomal RNA
Rfam family: Bacterial small subunit ribosomal RNA
Source: RNAcentral